CGGAAACGAUGGGAGCUUGCUCCCAGGCGUCGAGUGGCGGACGGGUGAGUAAUACUUAGGAAUCUGCCCAUUAGUGGGGGACAACUCGAGGAAACUCGAGCUAAUACCGCAUACGCCCUACGGGGGAAAGCGGGGGAUCUUCGGACCUCGCGCUAAUGGAUGAGCCUAAGUCGGAUUAGCUUGUUGGUGAGGUAAAGGCUCACCAAGGCGACGACCCGUAGCUGGUCUGAGAGGACGAUCAGCCACACUGGGACUGAGACACGGCCCAGACUCCUACGGGAGGCAGCAGUGGGGAAUAUUGGACAAUGGGCGCAAGCCUGAUCCAGCAAUGCCGCGUGUGCGAAGAAGGCCUGCGGGUUGUAAAGCACUUUCAGUAGAGAAGAAAAGCUUACGGCUAAUACCCGUGAGUCUUGACGUUACCUACAGAAGAAGCUCCGGCUAACUCCGUGCCAGCAGCCGCGGUAAUACGGAGGGAGCGAGCGUUAAUCGGAAUUACUGGGCGUAAAGCGCGCGUAGGCGGCUUUGUUAGUCGGAUGUGAAAGCCCCGGGCUUAACCUGGGAAUGGCAUUCGAUACUGCAUAACUAGAGUAUGGUAGAGGGAAGUGGAAUUUCCGGUGUAGCGGUGAAAUGCGUAGA
RNAcentral lists this ribosomal RNA (636 nucleotides) under uncultured bacterium. RNAcentral describes it as "bacterial SSU rRNA". It matches the Rfam family "Bacterial small subunit ribosomal RNA", at positions 67 to 694 of the family's 1533-position model. The record is from RNAcentral.